Molecule: ribosomal RNA, 780 nt
Filed under: uncultured bacterium
Lineage: Bacteria
Description: bacterial SSU rRNA
Rfam family: Bacterial small subunit ribosomal RNA
Source: RNAcentral
AGAGUUUGAUCCUGGCUCAGGAUGAACGCUGGCGGCGUGCCUAACACAUGCAAGUCGAGCGAAGCACUUCAUUAGAACUCUUCGGAGGGACGAGGAAGUGACUGAGCGGCGGACGGGUGAGUAACGCGUGGGCAACCUGCCUUACACAGGGGGAUAACAGUUAGAAAUGACUGCUAAUACCGCAUAAGACCACAUUGCCGCAUGGCAGGGUGGUAAAAACUCCGGUGGUGUAAGAUGGGCCCGCGUCUGAUUAGGUAGUUGGCAGGGUAGAGGCCUACCAAGCCUACGAUCAGUAGCCGGCCUGAGAGGGUGGACGGCCACAUUGGGACUGAGACACGGCCCAAACUCCUACGGGAGGCAGCAGUGGGGAAUAUUGCACAAUGGGGGAAACCCUGAUGCAGCGACGCCGCGUGAGUGAGGAAGUAUUUCGGUAUGUAAAGCUCUAUCAGCAGGGAAGAAAAUGACGGUACCUGACUAAGAAGCCCCGGCUAACUACGUGCCAGCAGCCGCGGUAAUACGUAGGGGGCAAGCGUUAUCCGGAUUUACUGGGUGUAAAGGGAGCGUAGACGGUGAUGCAAGUCAGAAGUGAAAGCCCGGGGCUCAACUCCGGGACUGCUUUUGAAACUGUGUGACUGGAGUGCAGGAGAGGUAAGCGGAAUUCCUGGUGUAGCGGUGAAAUGCGUAGAUAUCAGGAGGAACACCAGUGGCGAAGGCGGCUUACUGGACUGUAACUGACGUUGAGGCUCGAAAGCGUGGGGAGCAAACAGGAUUAGAUACCCU